Pipistrellus kuhlii (Kuhl's pipistrelle) is the source of this 507-nucleotide long non-coding RNA. RefSeq lists it as uncharacterized. The transcript has 3 exons. NCBI's taxonomy places the organism in Eukaryota, Metazoa, Chordata, Mammalia, Chiroptera, Vespertilionidae. The record is from RefSeq and is a predicted model, not a curated record.
ACUGCGUGGCGCCUAAAGGCCGGGGAGCCCCUGCAGCUGUGAGGACGCGGAAGAGCUGGCGGCCGGGAAGAGGUCGCCAAAGGCACCAUACCAGCGGCCAGCUCCAGGCCAAGCCCAGCGAGUCUGCAGGAGCCAGACCCUUCACCCUUCACCUGGCUUGGGACGCGGAGCUGCGGGAAGAUGUUUCUAUAAUAUUGUAGUUCAGCGUAGAUGCAACGCCAGGGCGCCGCCUAGAGGUCAGCCGCGGCCUCUGCGACACCAGCCCACGACCAUGGAGCUGCUCCAGCCUCGGACGCGAGGGGAUGUAAACCGUUUGAAGUUCAUCCACACGGUGAAGUUUUAUUGUAUUUCCGGUCCCCAAGAUUUACACCCGGGAGGGGGAGCGGGCGGCCGGGCGGACGGCCUCGCUCCCUAGGACUUCCCCGCCGGACACGUGGCCGCGGACACUCACCUCCCGGGCGCGGGCGGGAGGGAGCGGGCGGGACAGGACGCCGUCGCUUCCCGCCG